CAGGACGAACGCUGGCGGCGGGCCUAACACAUGCAAGUCGAAGGGGAUUCAGGGAGCUUGCUCCCUGAUGAGACUGGCGCACGGGUGAGUAACACGUAGAUAAUCUAUCUCCAGGUGGGGGAUAACCGCGGGAAACCGUGGCUAAUACCGCGUAAUGUAUCGGGGCCGCAUGGCCGCUGAUAUCAAAGAUUCAUCGUCUGGAGGUGAGUCUGCGUCGCAUUAGUUAGUUGGCAGGGUAACGGCCUGCCAAGACGAUGAUGCGUAGCUGGUCUGAGAGGAUGAUCAGCCACACUGGCACUGAGACACGGGCCAGACUCCUACGGGAGGCAGCAGUGAGGAAUAUUGCGCAAUGGGGGCAACCCUGACGCAGCCACGCCGCGUGCCGGAUGAAGGUCCUAUGGAUCGUAAACGGCUUUUACGGGGGAAGAACGGACUGGUUUCGACCGGUCGUGACGGUACCCUGGGAAUAAGCACCGGCUAACUCCGUGCCAGCAGCCGCGGUAAUACGGAGGGUGCAAGCGUUGUCCGGAAUCAUUGGGUGUAAAGGGUGCGUAGGCGGAAAUUUAAGUUUGGGGUGAAAUCCUGCGGCUCAACCGUAGAAUGGCCUUGGAUACUGGAUUUCUUGAGUGUAACAGAGGCAGGUAGAAUUCGUGGUGUAGCGGUGAAAUGCAUAGAUAUCACGAAGAAUACCAGUGGCGAAGGCGGCCUGCUGGGUUACAACUGACGCUGAGGCACGAGAGCGUGGGGAGCGAACAGGAUUAGAUACCCUGGUAGUCCACGCUGUAAACGAUGGAUACUAGGUGUUGGCCCCGGCUUGGCCGGGGGCAGUGCCGCAGCUAACGCAUUAAGUAUCCCACCUGGGGAGUACGUUCGCAAGAAUGAAACUCAAAGGAAUUGACGGGGGCCCGCACAAGCGGUGGAGCAUGUGGCUUAAUUCGAUGCAACGCGAGGAACCUUACCCGGGCUAAAUCUGUGGCGACCGGUCCCGAAAAGGACCUUCCCUUCGGGGCGCCAUAGAAGGUGCUGCAUGGCUGUCGUCAGCUCGUGCCGUGAGGUGUUGGGUUAAGUCCCGCAACGAGCGCAACCCCUAUCAUUAGUUACCAGCGCGUUAUGGCGGGGACUCUAGUGAGACUGCCUACGCAAGUAGUGAGGAAGGUGGGGACGACGUCAAGUCAUCAUGGCCCUUACGCCCGGGGCUGCACACGUGCUACAAUGGGGGGUACAGAGGGAAGCUACCUAGCGAUGGGAUGCCAAUCUCUAAAGCCUCUCCCAGUUCGGAUCGGAGUCUGCAACUCGACUCCGUGAAGUUGGAAUCGCUAGUAAUCGCGUAUCAGCAAUGACGCGGUGAAUACGUUCCCGGGCCUUGUACACACCGCCCGUCAAGCGAUGGAAGUGGGUAGUACCUGACGAUGCCGACUCAACCCUUCGGGGAGAUAGGUAUCCAGGGUAAGACUCACAACUGGCGCUAAGUCGUAACAAGGUAACC
RNAcentral lists this ribosomal RNA (1486 nucleotides) under uncultured bacterium. RNAcentral's name for it is "bacterial SSU rRNA". It matches the Rfam family "Bacterial small subunit ribosomal RNA". The record is from RNAcentral.